Molecule: transfer RNA, 76 nt
Filed under: Acidobacteriota bacterium
Lineage: Bacteria; Pseudomonadati; Acidobacteriota
Also listed under: 1 other name
Description: tRNA-Arg
Rfam family: tRNA
About the family: Transfer RNA (tRNA) molecules are approximately 80 nucleotides in length. Their secondary structure includes four short double-helical elements and three loops (D, anti-codon, and T loops).
Source: RNAcentral
GCCCGCGUAGCUCAGUGGAUAGAGCGCUUGCCUCCGGAGCAAGAGGCCGUAGGUUCGACUCCUACCGCGGGUACCA